RNAcentral lists this ribosomal RNA (484 nucleotides) under uncultured bacterium. Its description in RNAcentral is "partial 16S ribosomal RNA". It matches the Rfam family "Bacterial small subunit ribosomal RNA", at positions 30 to 507 of the family's 1533-position model. The record is from RNAcentral.
AUUGAACGCUGGCGGCAGGCCUAACACAUGCAAGUCGAGCGGUUGAAGGGAGCUUGCUCCUGGAUUCAGCGGCGGACGGGUGAGUAAUGCCUAGGAAUCUGCCUGGUAGUGGGGGAUAACGUCCGGAAACGGGCGCUAAUCCCGCAUACGUCCUGAGGGAGAAAGUGGGGGUUCUUCGGACCUCACGCUAUCAGAUGAGCCUAGGUCGGAUUAGCUAGUUGGUGGGGUAAAGGCCUACCAAGGCGACGAUCCGUAACUGGUCUGAGAGGAUGAUCAGUCACACUGGAGCUGAGACACGGUCCAGACUCCUACGGGAGGCAGCAGUGGGGAAUAUUAGACAAUGGGCGAAAGCCUGAUCCAGCCAUGCCGCGUGUGUGAAGAAGGUCUUCGGAUUGUAAAGCACUUUAAGUGGGGAGGAAGGGCAGUAAGUUAAUACCUUGCUGUUUUGACGUUACCAACAGAAUAAGCACCGGCUAACUUCGUG